RNAcentral lists this ribosomal RNA (245 nucleotides) under uncultured bacterium. Its description in RNAcentral is "partial 16S ribosomal RNA". It matches the Rfam family "Bacterial small subunit ribosomal RNA", at positions 524 to 768 of the family's 1533-position model. The record is from RNAcentral.
UACGAAGGCCACAAGCGUUAUCCGGAUUUAUUGGGCGUAAAGCGUGUGUAGGAGGUCUGAUGCGUUUAUUGUUAAAUCUUAUCGCUUAACGAUGAGGCUGCAAUAAAUACGGUCAGGCUAGAGUGUGCGAGAGGCUAAUAGAACUUACGGUGUAGGGGUGAAAUCCGUUGAUAUCGUAGGGAAUACCAAAGGCGAAGGCAUUUAGCUGGCGCAUUACUGACUCUGAGACACGAAAGCGUGGGGAG